Molecule: transfer RNA, 73 nt
Filed under: Calothrix sp. 336/3
Lineage: Bacteria; Bacillati; Cyanobacteriota; Cyanophyceae; Nostocales; Calotrichaceae
Rfam family: tRNA
About the family: Transfer RNA (tRNA) molecules are approximately 80 nucleotides in length.
Source: Rfam by way of RNAcentral
CCGGGUGUAGCGCAGAUGGGAGCGCAUCUGUUUUGGGAACAGAGGGUCGCAGGUUCGAUCCCUGCCACUCGGA